GGGGUUGUAGCUCAGUGAUAGAGCACUUGCCUAGCAGCAUGAGGCCCUGGGUUUGAUCCUCAGCACCA
Molecule: transfer RNA, 68 nt
Filed under: Ictidomys tridecemlineatus (thirteen-lined ground squirrel)
Lineage: Eukaryota; Metazoa; Chordata; Mammalia; Rodentia; Sciuridae
Also listed under: 1 other name
Description: Spermophilus tridecemlineatus (thirteen-lined ground squirrel) tRNA
Rfam family: tRNA
About the family: Transfer RNA (tRNA) molecules are approximately 80 nucleotides in length.
Source: Rfam by way of RNAcentral